This 280-nucleotide ribosomal RNA is filed under the name uncultured prokaryote. Its description in RNAcentral is "partial 16S ribosomal RNA". It matches the Rfam family "Bacterial small subunit ribosomal RNA", at positions 524 to 803 of the family's 1533-position model. The record is from RNAcentral.
UACGUAGGGGCUAGCGUUAUCCGGAAUUACUGGGCGUAAAGGGUGCGUAGGUGGUUUCUUAAGUCAGAGGUGAAAGGCUACGGCUCAACCGUAGUAAGCCUUUGAAACUGGGAAACUUGAGUGCAGGAGAGGAGAGUGGAAUUCCUAGUGUAGCGGUGAAAUGCGUAGAUAUUAGGAGGAACACCAGUUGCGAAGGCGGCUCGCUGGACAACACGUGACGCUGAGGCGCGAAAGUGUGGGGAGCAAAUCGGAUUAGAUACCCGGGUAGUCCCUGAGCGGG